GUUUCACCAGGUGCCAACAAUAUUUCGCUGAAAUUGCAAGGGUAAAACUGAGAAUUGGUUCCAUAAGGUUCAAAGACAGUCAGUGACCUGUCGCUGUGUGUAUUUUUAACAUUUAGAAAAGCUAAUGAAGGAAAAUAUAAAUACUUCUCCCCCCAGUCGAGCAAAGGGGGAUUGAUUUCUACAUGAGGGGAAGAACCACCCAAAAUGUUGAAACUGCCUGUCCCGUCUUCUGCUUUUGGUUUCAAUUUUUUAUAUUUAUCAUCAGACAAAGGCACUUCACCGAAAGAAACACCAUCUGCCCUAUUCCUUCUUAUACAAUUACAAGGCAAUUCACUGUAAAACUCUGGGUAACUCAGAUAGCAUGAAAUUGUUCUUCCACCCAAGAACUUGAAAAUACAAGAAUCGGAUGACCUGCUAAGAUUUUUAUUCUCUU
Molecule: unclassified non-coding RNA, 433 nt
Filed under: Hevea brasiliensis (rubber tree)
Lineage: Eukaryota; Viridiplantae; Streptophyta; Magnoliopsida; Malpighiales; Euphorbiaceae
Source: RNAcentral